CAUUACCGAGUUUACAACUCCCAAACCCCUGUGAACAUACCUUAAUGUUGCCUCGGCGGAUCAGCCCGCGCCCCGUAAAACGGGACGGCCCGCCAGAGGACCCAAACUCUAAUGUUUCUUAUUGUAACUUCUGAGUAAAACAAACAAAUAAAUCAAAACUUUCAACAACGGAUCUCUUGGUUCUGGCAUCGAUGAAGAACGCAGCAAAAUGCGAUAAGUAAUGUGAAUUGCAGAAUUCAGUGAAUCAUCGAAUCUUUGAACGCACAUUGCGCCCGCUGGUAUUCCGGCGGGCAUGCCUGUUCGAGCGUCAUUUCAACCCUCAAGCCCCCGGGUUUGGUGUUGGGGAUCGGCUCUGCCUUCUGGCGGUGCCGCCCCCGAAAUACAUUGGCGGUCUCGCUGCAGCCUCCAUUGCGUAGUAGCUAACACCUCGCAACUGGAACGCGGCGCGGCCAUGCCGUAAAACCCCAACUUCUGAAUGUUGACCUCGGAUCAGGUAGGAAUACCCGCUGAACUUAAGCAUAU
RNAcentral lists this ribosomal RNA (522 nucleotides) under Fusarium sp. ID4-1. RNAcentral describes it as "eukaryotic LSU rRNA". The stretch from base 157 to 310 matches the Rfam family "5.8S ribosomal RNA". Lineage: Eukaryota; Fungi; Ascomycota; Sordariomycetes; Hypocreales; Nectriaceae. The record is from RNAcentral.